UACGUAGGGUGCGAGCGUUAAUCGGAAUUACUGGGCGUAAAGCGUGCGCAGGCUGUUCUGUAAGUCAGAUGUGAAAUCCCCGAGCUCAACUUGGGAACUGCGUUUGAAACUACAGGACUAGAAUAUGUCGAGAGGGGGGUAGAAUUCCACGUGUAGCAGUGAAAUGCGUAGAGAUGUGGAGGAAUACCAAUGGCGAAGGCAGCCCCCUGGGAUAAUAUUGACGCUCAUGCACGAAAGCGUGGGGAGCAAACAGG
This 254-nucleotide ribosomal RNA is filed under the name uncultured bacterium. Its description in RNAcentral is "partial 16S ribosomal RNA". It matches the Rfam family "Bacterial small subunit ribosomal RNA", at positions 524 to 776 of the family's 1533-position model. The record is from RNAcentral.